Long non-coding RNA from Dama dama (fallow deer), 2143 nucleotides. RefSeq lists it as uncharacterized. The record is from RefSeq and is a predicted model, not a curated record. NCBI's taxonomy places the organism in Eukaryota, Metazoa, Chordata, Mammalia, Artiodactyla, Cervidae. The transcript is spliced from 3 exons.
GUCCUCCCCCUUCUCCUCGCCUUUCCCUCCGCCCCACUCCCGGAUUAAAUUCCGGAAGAGUCCCGGAACUUGCCUGGGGUCCUGCAGGCGGUCCCUAUCCCAUCUGCUUUCUCUGUUAUUCUAAUCGAGUCUUGGGGACACCCUCUGUCAACUGCCGAGAGCUAUGCAUAUGACCGGGGUUGGUAUUGUUAUUACUAAGAGACGCUCGGUUUCGAAAUCGCUUUGCAUUUUCUUGCACCAAAUCUUGGCGGUUCCCGUGCCUGGAAGCCUCGGCCGCGUGGGACUUUUUUCCUCCCUGUGAUUUGAGAAGUGGAAGCCCACUCUUGCUCUCCUGCUCGGGAAGAGGGUGGUUUGAGACGGGAAACCAGGACUGUGUCACUGCAGAAAGCCGGGAGCAAGACACGCCCCAGAGCUGGUUUAACCUGUUGUGACCAGACUGGCUGAAUUAACCAUCGCUCAACUGGACACAUGACCACUCCAUUCCUAUGCAGGACUUUCAUCCGACAAACAUUUUCUCCCCUCCUUUGUCCAUCCCACUGGGAAGCAUCAACUGGCUACUCCUCCUCCAUCCUGACUCUGCCCCCAUCACCUGUCUGCCUCUCCCUCCUCCACCUCACCUAGUCAGUCCCUUGGAUCCUCCCCAAGCCCCACUGCUUAGCUCAGGCUCAUCAGAGCGCACCUGAACUGCAGCAGCCUCCUCCCCAUCUACCCAUCUACCCCAGCUCCAUUCCCCAUAAAAGCAGGUCUCAGCUUGCCACUUCUCUGCUGCUAAUCCUCUGUUUUGCAUCAGAGGCCAAGGCCCAGCCCUCAGGGACGAACGAGCAGGACAAACCAGGGUGCCUGAAUAAAACAUGCCUCUUCCAGUCAGUCACCCAGGAGAAACUUACUCAUCCCAAGAGGGGAGGCGGGGAAGAAGCUCCAGGGAGGUUUCUGGCUCAGCCAACUCUCAUCAACCAAGCUUGCAGGAUAUUAGUUCUACAACCGGGGAUCAAAACUCAGCAGUGGAUGUGCAGAGCCCUGACCGCUGGACUCCCAGGGAAUUCCCUAAAACUAGGGGAUUUUUCUACCCUAGUGCUCCAAGAGAGAUGGUGAUAAGCAUAUUGCAUAGCCCUGCUCCUUCCAGACCUCAGUUUUCCGUCUAUACAAUGGCAGUCUCAGGGACUUCAAGGAGAUCAAUCCAGUCAAUCCUGAAAGAAAUCAACCCUGAAUAUUCGUUGGAAGGACUGAUGCUGAAGCUGAAGCUGCAGUACUUUGACUAUGUGAUUUGAUGAGACGAUUCAUUGGAAAAGACCCUAAUGCUGGGGAAGACGGAGGGCAGGAGGAAAAGGGGGUGACAGAGGAUGAGAUGGUUGGAUAGCAUCACCAACUCAGUGGACUCAAUGAAUUUGAGCAAACUCCAGGAGAUAGUGGAGGCCAGAGGAGCCUGGCAUGCUGCAGGUCCAUGAGGUCGCAAAAAAUCAGACACGACUUACCAACUGAACAACAACAGUGGAAGUUUGAGACCAGGUUUCUGCAUUAUUUCUUAAUCUUACAACUAACCAACCAAACCAGUACCGAUGUAGUGGCCAUAAGAUGACCUUUGAUGGGCUGGGGAAGGGAUGGUAUAAAAUGGCAUUAAUGAAUGAGCAAAGUCUGGGAGAUAGUGGAGGACAGGGAAGCUGGGUGUGCUGCAGUCAUUGGGGUUACAAAGAGUUGGACAUAAUAACUAAACAACAACAACAAUAAAAGUAGGAGGUACUACCAUCGAUUGAUGAACAGGAUCACUCCUGUGGCUUUGGAGCAAGUGAUCAUGGGAAAGCUGCAUCUGCCUGCGUUGGGGACACCUGUCUCUCCUGCAAAUCAGUUCUCUAGGGCUUGGCAGCUUCUUCCCUCCCAUCACCUAUCUGCUUCUCCCAUCACCUCUCUGCCCGCCUGCCUCUAUCCCUGAGGCCCUCAGGGAGGAGCUGGCCCAGGGGAGGAGCUAGAGACAGCGGUGGAACAAGUUCUAUGGGGCAGAGGGAAGGCGCCUACCUCCCUAUUUAUUAACUGAGGUCCUGGCCUCCCUCCGGCCCUGAUCUAGGCAGGUCAGGCUCUGAAUUGCCUGCAUGCUCCUCCCCACUUCCCUGUGCCCAUUCAAAAGAGGCAGCUCUCAUAGAUGCUGGAG